GAUGAACGCUGGCGGCGUGCCUAAUACAUGCAAGUCGAGCGAAUGGAUUGAGAGCUUGCUCUUAUGAAGUUAGCGGCGGACGGGUGAGUAACACGUGGGUAACCUGCCCAUAAGACUGGGAUAACUCCGGGAAACCGGGGCUAAUACCGGAUAACAUUUUGAACCGCAUGGUUCGAAAUUGAAAGGCGGCUACGGCUGUCACUUAUGGAUGGACCCGCGUCGCAUGAGCUAGUUGGUGGGGUAACGGCUCGCCAAGGCAACGAUGCGUAGCCGACCUGAGAGGGUGAUCGGCCACACUGGGACUGAGACACGGCCCAGACUCCUACGGGAGGCAGCAGUAGGGAAUCUUCCGCAAUGGACGAAAGUCUGACGGAGCAACGCCGCGUGAGUGAUGAAGGCUUUCGGGUCGUAAAACUCUGUUGUUAGGGAAGAACAAGUGCUAGUUGAAUAAGCUGGCACCUUGACGGUACCUAACCAGAAAGCCACGGCUAACUACGUGCCAGCCGCCGCGGUAA
This 515-nucleotide ribosomal RNA is filed under the name uncultured bacterium. RNAcentral describes it as "partial 16S ribosomal RNA". It matches the Rfam family "Bacterial small subunit ribosomal RNA", at positions 28 to 523 of the family's 1533-position model. The record is from RNAcentral.